Molecule: ribosomal RNA, 1455 nt
Filed under: uncultured Bordetella sp.
Lineage: Bacteria; Pseudomonadati; Pseudomonadota; Betaproteobacteria; Burkholderiales; Alcaligenaceae
Description: partial 16S-23S ribosomal RNA intergenic spacer
Rfam family: Bacterial small subunit ribosomal RNA
Source: RNAcentral
AAGCUCAGAUUGAACGCUGGCGGGAUGCUUUACACAUGCAAGUCGAACGGCAGCACGGACUUCUGGUCUGGUGGCGAGUGGCGAACGGGUGAGUAAUGUCGGAACGUGCCUAGUAGCGGGGGAUAACUACGCGAAAGCGUAGCUAAUACCGCAUACGCCCUUCGGGGAAAGCGGGGACCUUCGGGCCUCGCACUACGAGCGGCCGAUAUCGGAUUAGCCAGUUAGGGUAACGGCUCACCAAGGCGACGAUCCGUAGCUGGUUUGAGAGGACGACCAGCCACACUGGGACUGGAGACACGGCCCAGACUCCUACGGAGGCAGCAGUGGGGGAAUUUUGGACAAUGUGGGGAAACCUGAUCCAGCUAUCCCGGCGUGUGUGAUGAAGGCUCUUCGGGUUGUAAAGCACUUUUGGCAGGAAAGAAACGGCACGGAUAAUACCCCAGGCAACUGACGGUACCUGCAGAAUAAGCACCGGCUAACUACGUGCCAGCAGCCGCGGUAAUACGUAGGUGCAAGCGUUAAUCGGAAUUACUGGGCGUAAAGUGUGUGCAGGCGGUUCGGAAAGGUGAUGUGAAAUCCCAGAGCUUAACCUUUGGGAACUGCAUUUUUAACUACCGAGCUAGAGUGCAAGUCAGAGGGAGGAACGCGUAGCAGUGAAAUGCGUAGAUAUGCGGAGGAACACCGAUGGCGAAGGCAGCUUCCUGGGAUAACACUGACGCUCAUGCACGAAAGCGUGAAGAAGGGUUAUGAUUAGAUACUCCCCAUUCCACGCUCCUAAACGAUGUCAACUAGCCGUUAGUCUUUCGGGCCUUGGUAGCGCAGCUAACGUGUGAAGCGAAUCGCCUGGGGGCAUGGUCGCAAGAUUAAAACUCAAAGUGAAUUGACGGGGACCCGCACAAGCGGAUGAUGGAUUAAUUGAUGCAACGCAAAAACCUUUACCUACCUUGAUAUGUCUGGAAAUCCCAAGAGAUUUGGGAUAUGGUUUCUGCAAGAGAACCGAACACAGGUGCUGCAUGGUUGUCGUCAGCUCGUGUCGAGAUGUUAGGUUAAGCCUGCAACGAGCGCAAAUUCCUUGUCAUUAGUUGUUGCUACGAAAGGGCACUCUAAUGAGACUGCCGGUGACAAACUGGAGGAAGGUGGGGAUGACGUCAAGUCCCUUGGCCCUUAUGGUAGGGCUUCACACGUCAUACAACAGUCGGACAGAGGGUCGCCAACCCAGGGAGCUAAUCCCAGAAACCCGAUCGUAGUCCGGAUCGCAGUCUGCAACUCGACUGCGCGAAGUCGGAAUCGCUAGUAAUCGCGGAUCAGCAGCGUCGCGGUGAAUACGUUCCCUGGCCCUGCACACACCGCCCGGGUCAGCACCAUGAGUGGGUUUUACCAGAAGUAGUUAGGCCUAACCGUAAGGAGGGCGAUUACCACGGUAGGGAUCAUGACUGGGUGGUCGCAACAAGGUAG